Molecule: ribosomal RNA, 2204 nt
Filed under: Salmonella enterica subsp. enterica serovar Enteritidis
Lineage: Bacteria; Pseudomonadati; Pseudomonadota; Gammaproteobacteria; Enterobacterales; Enterobacteriaceae
Description: partial 23S ribosomal RNA
Rfam family: Bacterial large subunit ribosomal RNA
Source: RNAcentral
AAUGGGUCAGCGACUUAUAUUCUGUAGCAAGGUUAACCGAAUAGGGGAGCCGGAGGGAAACCGAGUCUUAAUUGGGCGUUAAGUUGCAGGGUAUAGACCCGAAACCCGGUGAUCUAGCCAUGGGCAGGUUGAAGGUUGGGUAACACUAACUGGAGGACCGAACCGACUAAUGUUGAAAAAUUAGCGGAUGACCUGUGGCUGGGGGUGAAAGGCCAAUCAAACCGGGAGAUAGCUGGUUCUCCCCGAAAGCUAUUUAGGUAGCGCCUCGUGAAUUCAUCUCCGGGGGUAGAGCACUGUUUCGGCUAGGGGGCCAUCCCGGCUUACCAACCCGAUGCAAACUGCGAAUACCGGAGAAUGUUAUCACGGGAGACACACGGCGGGUGCUAACGUCCGUCGUGAAGAGGGAAACAACCCAGACCGCCAGCUAAGGUCCCAAAGUCAUGGUUAAGUGGGAAACGAUGUGGGAAGGCCCAGACAGCCAGGAUGUUGGCUUAGAAGCAGCCAUCAUUUAAAGAAAGCGUAAUAGCUCACUGGUCGAGUCGGCCUGCGCGGAAGAUGUAACGGGGCUAAACCAUGCACCGAAGCUGCGGCAGCGACACUGUGUGUUGUUGGGUAGGGGAGCGUUCUGUAAGCCUGCGAAGGUGGCCUGUGAGGGUUGCUGGAGGUAUCAGAAGUGCGAAUGCUGACAUAAGUAACGAUAAAGCGGGUGAAAAGCCCGCUCGCCGGAAGACCAAGGGUUCCUGUCCAACGUUAAUCGGGGCAGGGUGAGUCGACCCCUAAGGCGAGGCCGAAAGGCGUAGUCGAUGGGAAACGGGUUAAUAUUCCCGUACUUGGUGUUACUGCGAAGGGGGGACGGAGAAGGCUAUGUUGGCCGGGCGACGGUUGUCCCGGUUUAAGCGUGUAGGUGUGUGUUCCAGGUAAAUCCGGUUCACUUUAACACUGAGGCGUGACGACGAGGCACUACGGUGCUGAAGCAACAAAUGCCCUGCUUCCAGGAAAAGCCUCUAAGCAUCAGGUAACAUCAAAUCGUACCCCAAACCGACACAGGUGGUCAGGUAGAGAAUACCAAGGCGCUUGAGAGAACUCGGGUGAAGGAACUAGGCAAAAUGGUGCCGUAACUUCGGGAGAAGGCACGCUGACACGUAGGUGAAGUGAUUUACUCAUGGAGCUGAAGUCAGUCGAAGAUACCAGCUGGCUGCAACUGUUUAUUAAAAACACAGCACUGUGCAAACACGAAAGUGGACGUAUACGGUGUGACGCCUGCCCGGUGCCGGAAGGUUAAUUGAUGGGGUCAGCGCAAGCGAAGCUCCUGAUCGAAGCCCCGGUAAACGGCGGCCGUAACUAUAACGGUCCUAAGGUAGCGAAAUUCCUUGUCGGGUAAGUUCCGACCUGCACGAAUGGCGUAAUGAUGGCCAGGCUGUCUCCACCCGAGACUCAGUGAAAUUGAACUCGCUGUGAAGAUGCAGUGUACCCGCGGCAAGACGGAAAGACCCCGUGAACCUUUACUAUAGCUUGACACUGAACAUUGAGCCUUGAUGUGUAGGAUAGGUGGGAGGCUUUGAAGUGUGGACGCCAGUCUGCAUGGAGCCGACCUUGAAAUACCACCCUUUAAUGUUUGAUGUUCUAACGUGGACCCGUUACCCGGGUUGCGGACAGUGUCUGGUGGGUAGUUUGACUGGGGCGGUCUCCUCCUAAAGAGUAACGGAGGAGCACGAAGGUUGGCUAAUCCUGGUCGGACAUCAGGAGGUUAGUGCAAUGGCAUAAGCCAGCUUGACUGCGAGCGUGACGGCGCGAGCAGGUGCGAAAGCAGGUCAUAGUGAUCCGGUGGUUCUGAAUGGAAGGGCCAUCGCUCAACGGAUAAAAGGUACUCCGGGGAUAACAGGCUGAUACCGCCCAAGAGUUCAUAUCGACGGCGGUGUUUGGCACCUCGAUGUCGGCUCAUCACAUCCUGGGGCUGAAGUAGGUCCCAAGGGUAUGGCUGUUCGCCAUUUAAAGUGGUACGCGAGCUGGGUUUAGAACGUCGUGAGACAGUUCGGUCCCUAUCUGCCGUGGGCGCUGGAGAACUGAGGGGGGCUGCUCCUAGUACGAGAGGACCGGAGUGGACGCAUCACUGGUGUUCGGGUUGUCAUGCCAAUGGCACUGCCCGGUAGCUAAAUGCGGAAGAGAUAAGUGCUGAAAGCAUCUAAGCACGAAACUUGCCCCGA